CCGCUGGCGGCGUGCUAAUACAUGCAGUCGAGUGGACUUUUGGGAGCUGCUCCCAAAAGUUAGCGGCGGACGGGUGAGUAACACGUGGGCAACCUGCCUAUAAGACUGGGAUAACUUCGGGAAACCGGAGCUAAUACCGGAUAAUUCUUUUCCUCACAUGAAGGGAAGCUGAAAGACGGUUUCGGCUGUCACUUACAGAUGGGCCCGCGGCGCAUUAGCUAGUUGGUGAGGUAACGGCUCACCAAGGCAACGAUGCGUAGCCGACCUGAGAGGGUGAUCGGCCACACUGGGACUGAGACACGGCCCAGACUCCUACGGGAGGCAGCAGUAGGGAAUCUUCCGCAAUGGACGAAAGUCUGACGGAGCAACGCCGCGUGAGCGAUGAAGGCCUUCGGGUCGUAA
This 402-nucleotide ribosomal RNA is filed under the name uncultured Bacillus sp. Its description in RNAcentral is "bacterial SSU rRNA". It matches the Rfam family "Bacterial small subunit ribosomal RNA", at positions 34 to 428 of the family's 1533-position model. Lineage: Bacteria; Bacillati; Bacillota; Bacilli; Caryophanales; Bacillaceae. The record is from RNAcentral.